GGCGGCCCUCUGGACAGUACUGACGCUGAGAUGCGAAGCGUGGGGAGCAAACAGGAUUAGAUACCUGGUAGUCACGCUGUAGACGAUGUCGAUUUGGAGUUUGUUGCCUAGAGUGAUGGGCUCCGAAGCUAACGCGAUAAAUCGACCGCCUGGGGAGUACGGCCGCAAGGUUAAAACUCGAAUGAAUUGACGGGGGCCCGCACAAGCGGUGGAGCAUGUGGUUUAAUUCGAUGCAACGCGAAGAACCUUACCUGGUCUUGACAUCCAUAGAAUUCUGCAGAGAUGUGGGAGUGCCUUCGGGAACUAUGAGACAGGUGCUGCAUGGCUGUCGUCAGCUCGUGUUGUGAAAUGUUGGGUUAAGUCCCGCAACGAGCGCAACCCUUAUUCUUUGUUACCAGCGAUUUGGUCGGGAACUCAAAGGAGACUGCCGUUGAUAAAGCGGAGGAAGGUGGGGACGACGUCAAGUCACCAUGGCCCUUACGACCAGGGCUACACACGUGCUACAAUGGCGUAUACAAAGGGAAGCGAAGGUGCGAGCUGGAGCGGAUCUCAUAAAGUACGUCUAAGUUCGGAUUGGAGUCUGCAACUCGACUCCAUGAAGUCGGAAUCGCUAGUAAUCGUAGAUCAGAAUGCUACGGUGAAUACGUUCCCGGGCCUUGUACACACCGCCCGUCACACCAUGGGAGUGGGUUGCACCAGAAGUAGAUAGCUUAACCGCGAGGGGGGCGUUUACCACGGUGUGAUUCAUGACUGGGGUGAAGUCGUAACAAGGUAACCA
Molecule: ribosomal RNA, 778 nt
Filed under: uncultured Enterobacteriaceae bacterium
Lineage: Bacteria; Pseudomonadati; Pseudomonadota; Gammaproteobacteria; Enterobacterales; Enterobacteriaceae
Description: bacterial SSU rRNA
Rfam family: Bacterial small subunit ribosomal RNA
Source: RNAcentral